Long non-coding RNA from Myxocyprinus asiaticus (Chinese sucker), 3350 nucleotides. RefSeq lists it as uncharacterized. NCBI's taxonomy places the organism in Eukaryota, Metazoa, Chordata, Actinopteri, Cypriniformes, Catostomidae. The record is from RefSeq and is a predicted model, not a curated record. The transcript is spliced from 2 exons.
UGAAGAUUGCUGCAUCUGUGAUAGAAUCGGAUGAACUGAAAUGAGAAGAAACAAAAGAAAAUUCAAGAAUGAACUGAUAAAAAAAUCCAGUCAUAGCAAAGUCUUUCUAGCAAGUCAGUCAACUGUCGGCCAUCUUUGGAACGCUCCUUGGAGGCUAUUUCCAGUCAUGACUGAGCAGUUUCUAUCUACUUGAAUGGGGGAACACAGAAAUAAAAAAGUUUUAUAAACAAGAUUCAGGAGGAGCAAGGUCAUUUAAUCCGACCAAUCACAUCGCAAACCGGCUGCUUUGGCACUGUAUACAUGUGAAACAGCUCUCUACAACUGCUCAUAUGUUCUCUUAUCUAAACUUUACACCCAAAGCGGAUGACUGUGUGAAGCUGCUUCUGCAAACCGGCUGCUUCGGCACUGUAUACAUGUGAAACAGUUCUCUACGACUGCUCAUAGGCUGCCCUGGGUGACCAGAAGUGGGUAGACGAAUUGAAUCUUUAACAGAUUUGAUAGUGGAUCUUCUCCUAACAACCUCCACUCUCAUCACGGUGAGAGUUCUCUCUCCUUUUCUAAGCCUUCAUCCAAUACCUUGACCAACCUCCCCUCUCCCUUGAUCUCACCCCCAGACUCUUACCUCUCACUAUCGACUGAUCAGGUGAGAUGGGGGUUAAAAAGGAUUAAGACAAGGAAAGCUGUAGGUCCUGAUGGCAUCGACCCUAGAGUUCUCAGGGACUGUGUGGAUCUGAUUUGUGAGGUGGUCCAGUAAAUUUUUAAUUUGAGCUUACAACUGGAAAAAGUUCCGGCAUUGUGGAAGACUUCCUGUGUGGUGCCUGUACCUAAGAUUGGUAAGCCUACAGAGUUCAAUCAUUAUUGGCCAAUUGCUCUGACGUCACACCUGAUGAAGACUCUAGAAAGACUUGUACUUAACCACUUACAACCUCUAGUGCACUCUGCUAUGGACCUUCUGCAAUUUGCUCAUCAACCAAAUAUUGGGGUAGAGGAUGCAGUUAUCUUCCUUCUGCAGAGAUCUUUAGCCCAUCUAGAGGAGGCUGGGAGCAUUGUGAGAAUCAUGUUUUUUUUAUUUCUCCAGUGCAUUCAAUACCAUUCAGCCUUCACUGCUUAGAAUUAAGAUGGAGAAAGCAGGAGUGCAUUUUAGCUUGGUAAACUGGAUAACUGACUAUCUCACAAAUAGACCUCAGUAUGUGAGAAUGCAGGACCCUGUGUCUGAAGUGGUUAAGUGCUGUACAGGAUUCCCAGAAGAAACUGUAUUAGCCCCUUUCUUAUUUACCCUCUAUACAUCCAACUUUCAGUACAACUCUGGCAGCUGUCGUCUUCAAAAAAUUUCAGACGACUCCGUAGUUUGUGGAUGUAUUUCUGAACAUAAUGAGGGUGAAUAUAGGGAGUUGAUUAAGAACUUUGUAGACUGGUGCCAGCUGAACUGCCUCCAGCUUAAUACAAGUAAGACAAAGGAAAUUGUAGUGGAUUAUCAAAGGAAGUCACAUCAAAUAAUACCAGUAAACAUCCAGGGGAUGGACAUUGAGACUGUCAAAUCAUAUAAAUACCUGGGUGUUUAUCUAAAUAACAAGUUAGACUGGUCUGUGUCACAUCUAGAUGUGUUUUUGUUCAUGUUUUGUGUUCAUGUCUUUUAUUUUAAAGUUUAGUUCCUGUUCCUGUUCAGGUCAUGUGGUUUCAUGUCACAUUAUUUCCAUGCCAUGUUUGUUCCUGUUUCCUUGGUGAUGUGAUUUCAUGUUUCCCUCCAUGUUCAUGUGUCUUGUUUUUAUUGGUUUAUUGUUUUAUCUUGUUAUCAGUUAUGUCUUGUCAUUAGUUAUCUUGUCAUGUUUCUCCCUUGUCCAUGUAUUUAAGCCUCAUGUUUGUCAUUGUCCAUUGUCAGGUAUUGUUUAUGUAACGUUGUUUGGUAGUAAAGUCAUGUCAUGUCAAGUCUAGUUUAGUUCAUGUUUAUGUUUUCUGUUCACAGUUUCUGGAUUUCACGUUGUUCUAAAUAAACACUGCACUUGGGUUCUACACUUCAUCAUCUGCCAGUCAUUGCCAGCAUCAUUACAGUCUGAUAACACAAACUAUUUAUAUAAGAAAAGUCAAAGUUGCAUUCAUCUCUUGAGAUGACCGAGAUACUUUGGUGUGUGUCAGGUACUGUUAAAGACUUUCUAUGAAUCUGUAUUAGCAUCUGUCAUUUUGUAUGUUCUGGUAUGUUGGGGGAGGUAUCUUGGAAAGAGAAAAAAAAAAAACUUAAGUUAAUUAGAAAGGCCAGUUCUGUUGUGGGAUCCUCCCUAGGAGACGAGAGGAUGACUAAGAACUAUCUUGUAUUUUAGGCAAUAACUCUCAUACCCUCCACAAGGCUCUGGGCAGCACGUUCAGUGCAAGGUUAAUUCAUCUGCGCUGCUCAAAAGAGCAUUACUGAAAGUCUUUUUUGCCAUCUGCCAUAAGAUUGUACAAUCAAUAUUAUACACGAUUGAUUUGUUACUGAUGUAAUAUUAUUAUGAUGUAGAGCUUGGGUUGGUGCAGUAUUGUUUAUUGUCUGUUGUUUUGCUUUGUUCUUGUUGUUUUUUAUCUAUUAAAUUAAUACAUUUUAAAUUAUACAUUUUUAAAGAUAUGGAUUGUGUUGCUGCUGUAACAUGUGAAUUUCCCCCUAGUGGGAUCAAUACAUUUAUCAAUCAAUCAAUCUAUCUAUCAUUUAUUUGUUCUCUUAUCUAAACUUUCCACCCGGAGCGGCAGACUGCGUGAAGCUGCUUCCGUAAACCGGCUGCUUUGGCACUGUAGGCUACAUAUGAAACAGCUCUCUACGACUGCUCAUAUGUUCUCUUAUCUAAAUUUCCCACCUAGAACGGCCGACAGCGUGAAGCUGCUACCGCAAACUGGCUGCUUUGGCUCUAUAUACAUGUGACACGGCUCCCUAUGACUGCUCAUAUAUUCUCCUAUCUAAAUUUCCCACCCGAAGCGGCCGGCUGCGUGAAGCUGCUUCCACAAACCAGCUGCUUCAGCACCGUAUACAUGCUAAACAGGGGCCGGUUGCACCAGCUAUACGCAAGUUACAACUUAGCCUAGUUGUGGCGUAAAUGGGCACUAAGUCACAAUUUACAUACUACUAAAUAUUUGAGCAUUUCACCAUUACAUUUAGGUAGGAUGUAACCCUACAUAUAAACUAAAUAUUUAACGGAGUAACGGAUGGAAUAAAAAAGACUCAUUUAAAGACAUCAAUGAUCUCAUGUUUUGGUUGACAGGCUUUAGUCCUUUCAACAUAUAUGAUGAUGUUGGCAUUUACACUCGUUUACAUUUACGGGAGAAAACAUUAUGUAAAAAUAAAUAAAUAAAUAAUAAUAAAAAAAAAAAAAAAUAAAAAAAAAAAA